ACAGACUGAAAAUUACCUGUGAUGUAUCAGUUGUCACAGGUAAGAUUACUGUGCCGACAGGAAGGUGGUACAUAAAGCUUUUUGCCCGCUUUUGUAGCGGGACAAAUAAACCCAUGUGCCUACAGUG
Lepisosteus oculatus (spotted gar) is the source of this 127-nucleotide small nucleolar RNA. Lineage: Eukaryota; Metazoa; Chordata; Actinopteri; Semionotiformes; Lepisosteidae. The record is from Ensembl.